RNAcentral lists this ribosomal RNA (164 nucleotides) under uncultured bacterium. RNAcentral describes it as "partial 16S rRNA". It matches the Rfam family "Bacterial small subunit ribosomal RNA", at positions 355 to 511 of the family's 1533-position model. The record is from RNAcentral.
UAGGGAAUCUUCCACAAUGGGCGCAAGCCUGAUGGAGCAAUACCGCGUGAGUGAAGAAGGGUUUCGGCUCGUAAAGCUCUGUUGUUAAAGAAGAACACGUAUGAGAGUAACUGUUCAUACGUUGACGGUAUUUAACCAGAAAGUCACGGCUAACUACGUGCUAG